GCACGACAUCACUGAAAAUGGAUGAGAGCUCCUUCUCUAAAAUGGAUGCAAGAGAUGAUAGCUCUUUCUCCAAAUUCCCUAAAAGAGGUUUCGUCAGGAAACCUAAUCCGGACUUAGAUGUCGACAUCUCAUUCAGUUUCCUUAAAAGAGAAUCCAGAAAGCUCAAUCCACCAAAGGUGGGGAACUGAGAUGGAGUAAAUUUUAAGGAUUUGUAGUACGUCUCAACUUGUGCCUUCAGAUCUUUAGUCUUCUCCAAUAUCUGUAUUGAGCAAAGACUUA
This 279-nucleotide unclassified non-coding RNA is filed under the name Hevea brasiliensis (rubber tree). The record is from RNAcentral. Lineage: Eukaryota; Viridiplantae; Streptophyta; Magnoliopsida; Malpighiales; Euphorbiaceae.